GUUUGUGGGGUUUGGAGUAUGAUUAGAGUUCUAAUGGUUUUUUAGUGUAUCUGUGCAGAGAAAUGGAGAAGACGCUGAAGCUGAAGGGUGCAUGCAUGCUGGAUUACACCUAUCUCUCCCUCACGAAAGCCAUAAAGAAACCCAUGUACAAAAUUUGCAUCGGUACGUAGGUUGAUAUUUUUUUGUUUGAA
Cucurbita moschata (crookneck pumpkin) is the source of this 191-nucleotide long non-coding RNA. RefSeq lists it as uncharacterized. Lineage: Eukaryota; Viridiplantae; Streptophyta; Magnoliopsida; Cucurbitales; Cucurbitaceae. The transcript has 2 exons. The record is from RefSeq and is a predicted model, not a curated record.